Molecule: non-coding RNA, 29 nt
Filed under: Rattus norvegicus (Norway rat)
Lineage: Eukaryota; Metazoa; Chordata; Mammalia; Rodentia; Muridae
Source: RNAcentral
UGGAAUCUUCAGGAUGACCUGUUUCCCCU